CCUACGGGAGGCAGCAGUGAGGAAUAUUGGUCAAUGGCCGCAGGGCUGAACCAGCCAAGUCGCGUGAGGGAUGACGGUCCUAUGGAUUGUAAACCUCUUUUGUCAGGGAGCAAAGUGCGCCACGUGUGGCGCUUUGCGAGUACCUGAAGAACAAGCAUCGGCUAACUCCGUGCCAGCCGCCGCGGUAAUACGGAGGAUGCGAGCGUUAUCCGGAUUUAUUGGGUUUAAAGGGUGCGCAGGCGGAAUGUCAAGUCAGCGGUAAAAUUUCGGGGCUCAACCCCGUCGUGCCGUUGAAACUGGUGUUCUGGAGUGAGCGAGAAGUAGGCGGAAUGCGUGGUGUAGCGGUGAAAUGCAUAGAUAUCACGCAGAACUCCGAUUGCGAAGGCAGCAUACCGGCGCUCAACUGACGCUCAUGCACGAAAGCGUGGGUAUCGAACAGGAUUAGAUACCCGGGUAGUC
RNAcentral lists this ribosomal RNA (459 nucleotides) under uncultured bacterium. RNAcentral's name for it is "partial 16S ribosomal RNA". It matches the Rfam family "Bacterial small subunit ribosomal RNA", at positions 338 to 795 of the family's 1533-position model. The record is from RNAcentral.